ACAAUUAUCGCUGUCUCGAUGUGAUUUGUCGGGAGUAUAUUGAGUUUCGCGUUAAACACUCGAUAGCUAAUUUGCUAACAUUCUCCCGUCCAUCACAAGUUGUACGUAGUGUUUUUAUUUUUGUAUUUAAAUAUUUGUUUAACCUGCACAGGUGCAUCAGACAAUACUUUUGCGAGGACAGGAUCUUCUGCUGUCUAUAUCACUGUCUGUGCCUACUGUUAAUAACCAUUUACACAAGCUCUAAAAUCAUGCAGUUCAACAAAAAGAUUUUAUCAUCAUCAAGCAUGGUCUCAAGUGCAGGCAAUCCCCACACUUUCACUGCUGUUACUGUACAUCAACAGUAAUCAGAUGUGAUUGUUUUAUUACACAUUUUAAAAUGUGUAAAAAUCCAGCCUCUGAACAACCUCCCAUUGGCUGCAGCACCACCUUCGUCUCCAGCAUCAGCAUCCCCACCUUCAUUUCGCCCGGACAUUGGAACAUGUCUGUACUGAUUUUGAGAUACAGCUUUUUAACUUCUUGCUUGUAAACUUUUUUUAUAUCUUUAGUGGAGUAUUAAGAAAGAACAAAGUACACAGUUGUCACAAAUAACCUACUGAGGGUCACUUAAGUAAACCAAGUGCACAUUUUUAACAAAACUAUAAACAAACAGAAAGACUUAACUUAAAAAAAGCAAUCCCUAGAUGUGACCGCUAUAUACUGUAUUAAUUGUAUAUCUAAUUGUAUUGUCUAUAAUUAACAGGGUGCCCCUCUACAGCUUGGAGGAAUUGAUUGUGGGGUAUUUAUGUUGAUGUCAAGUCCCACAACUACUCACCCAGGAAGUAACAUAUGCAGAUAACAUGAAAUUCACUCCACCCGAGUCAGGUGUCAUGGAGAUCACCCAGACAACAGAAGUAGAUCACACAGGACUCAGCGGUGAUGAGAAACAUUCAGCUGACCUGUGAGUGGGUAAAGGAGACCACUUGCUGGGAAGAUGAGCUACAAAAGAUCUAAAGGAUGAUGCCCUGUUGUCUAUAACAAUGUGGGACUUGUUUAUAAACACCAUGAUUUAUGAGGGUGAAAGGAAUGAAGAAGAAAUUUUGACUCCCUUCCCUUUUAUAUUUUAGAGAAGAGCAGGGGCCUCAUUUAUAAAAUGCUGCGUAAAAACCAUCCUAAAUUUGAUCUGGCGAUCAUUUAACAAAAAUGCGUACGUGUGAUUCAUAAACCGAACGUACGCGCAGAAAACGCGCGUACCCCUUUCAAAUCUAUAAAUCAGAAAUGAACUUGAACUUGUGCGCGCAGCCGAGCAGUUUCAGAUCUCCGCCUUUAAACGAUGCGUAAUUAAUGUCAGACAUAUAAAAAGCGCUUGUCAAUGUUUAAACCCAAUUUCAAACAGCAAGAAUGGCUUAUAUUUCCAAAAACCUGCAGCAAUCAGACAAGCAAAAGUGCGUACAUCUGCUCAGACCCUGACGUGGCGCUAAGCACUUUUCCACGUCAAAGACGGUUUUUAUAAAUAUGGACUUUGCUGUGGAUUUUCGCCUACGCACACUUUACGAUCAAAUCUGUGCGUACGCAGGCUUUAUAAAUGAGGCCCCAGGAGAUAUAUGAGACAAAAGAGUUAUUUGUGGGUUUUGUUUACACAAACAAACCCUGUCUUGUGAAUCUACUAGUGGGGAUAGACUAAUUUAAAUAUAGAUUUUUUUGAUUGUUUUUGUAAAAUACCAUUUCACGAGUUCGCAUUAACAUGUAAUCGAUAGGGAAUGAGAUUAAGCAUAUUUGGCGUGCUGUCCGAGGAGAGCGCUCCGAGCUCGGAAUUUUAGCCCAAACCCAGAGUACUCCCCUCUCUUUAACUGUGAUGAAUUAAUCUAGAUGAGAGUGAGGUGAUGGGGUGGAGGAGGGAUUCUGCAAAAAAUCUGUCACGGGACAGAGGUGAGGGACUGCCAUUUAUAGGCACCUCUUUGCACUGAUUGGUUGGAUCACAUGACCAUGCUCCUCCCGAACUUAGUUAAAUAAACUUCAUUAAACGUUUGUGUGAACUGUAAAGUGAUGUGUUCUUGAAAUAAAUAUAUAAUAUUUAUUAUUGUAUCUUAUUAUACCAUUAAAGUGUCGUGUUCUUGAAAUAUUCAUGAUAUUAUUUAAAAUCUUCUUAUCAUAACAUCUUGAUUUCUUUUAUGUUAGAUGCACAUUUUGCUAAAUUUGGGUUAAUAGAAACCAAUAAAUCCACUUGUAGGACACUGGAGUAUAACACUUGUAGGACACCUGGGUAUGUGACUAUUAAAUAACAUAAUUUAUAUUCUACAAAAAUGUAAAUUAAAGGGAAUGCCUCAAUAAUCUCAAAGCACAUCGUAUAUCCUCUACUAUGGGAAGUCACAUGGUUGAUUUUAGACUACUUGUCUGCUUAUUCAUAAAAUAUAGUAUACUGCAUAGCCUAUCACAUAAAUGUCGAAUCUAUCCAAAGUUACAGUCAAUAU
Molecule: long non-coding RNA, 2447 nt
Organism: Paramisgurnus dabryanus
Lineage: Eukaryota; Metazoa; Chordata; Actinopteri; Cypriniformes; Cobitidae
Source: RefSeq, a predicted model, not a curated record